ACCCUGUGGGAUAGCUCAGUUGGUAGAGCACGAGACUCUUAAUCUCAGGGUCAUGGGUUGAACCCCACAUUGGGUA
Non-coding RNA from Podarcis lilfordi (Lilford's wall lizard), 76 nucleotides. NCBI's taxonomy places the organism in Eukaryota, Metazoa, Chordata, Lepidosauria, Squamata, Lacertidae. The record is from the annotation of a GenBank genome assembly.